AAGGCUUUAGCUUAAUUAAAGCGUCUGUUUUGCAUGCAGUUAAUGUGGGUUAAUGUCCCGCAAGUCUUA
RNAcentral lists this transfer RNA (69 nucleotides) under Atule mate (yellowfin scad). RNAcentral's name for it is "tRNA-Ala". It matches the Rfam family "tRNA". From Rfam's summary of the family: Transfer RNA (tRNA) molecules are approximately 80 nucleotides in length. Their secondary structure includes four short double-helical elements and three loops (D, anti-codon, and T loops). Further hydrogen bonds mediate the characteristic L-shaped molecular structure. tRNAs have two regions of fundamental functional importance: the anti-codon, which is responsible for specific mRNA codon recognition, and the 3' end, to which the tRNAs corresponding amino acid is attached (by aminoacyl-tRNA synthetases). tRNAs cope with the degeneracy of the genetic code in two manners: having more than one tRNA (with a specific anti-codon) for a particular amino acid; and 'wobble' base-pairing, i.e. permitting non-standard base-pairing at the 3rd anti-codon position. The record is from RNAcentral. Lineage: Eukaryota; Metazoa; Chordata; Actinopteri; Carangiformes; Carangidae.